Molecule: long non-coding RNA, 487 nt
Organism: Austrofundulus limnaeus
Lineage: Eukaryota; Metazoa; Chordata; Actinopteri; Cyprinodontiformes; Rivulidae
Exons: 3
Source: RefSeq, a predicted model, not a curated record
GCUUUUUUCCCCCUUUUUUCACAUCAUGUCACCUGCCUGGAUCUGUUAUCUCGCUCUGAUGAACGGAGGAGUAUCACAGCCAGGCAGUUCAUUGACGACAGCUGCAGCUCAUCACCUAAUGAGCCUCCUGGGCUUUUUAAGGCAGCUGCUGAUACCAGAUCUUCGCUGGAACAUAGCUCUUGUUAUGGUAUGGCUCCUGACUCCUUGUAAAGCCUUUCUGUAGAAAGUUAUUAAGUCCUUGUUUAUUUCCUGUGCCCUAGUGAAAACAUCCUGGUCCUGUUUACAUGCCUGCCUGCCUGCCUGCCAACGUGUGACCUUAAUUGUAAAUACUCACCUGAAGGAUUCACCGUGUAUAUACUCACCUCUGGCACUCUCACCUUGGGCUCCCUGGAUUCCCUCCUCUUCUCCUCGCUCCUGGAAAAUCUCCUCACCUAUUAUCCCUGGACAAAACCAUUACACUGUAAAUAAAUCUCACUUACCAUUUUUA